GAUUACUUGCCAAGCGCCUAAAACCCAAAGGACUUGACGGUACCCUACAUCCAUCUAGAGGAGCCUGUCCUAUAAUCGAUAACCCACGUUCAACCUCACCACUUCUAGUUUCUCAGCCUGUAUACCUCCGUCGCCAGCUUACCUCGUGAGCGCCUCAUAGUGAGCAUAAUGUCUUCCAACAACACGUCAGGUCAAGGUGCAGCUAAUGAAGCGGGAAAAGAUGGGCUACACUUUCUAUCUUAGAACACACGGAAAACUACUAUGAAAUCUAGUUUGAAGGCGGAUUUAGCAGUAAAAAGAGACCAUUACACUCAUUUUAAAUUGGCACUAGGGUGUGUACACACCGCCCGUCACCCUCUUCAAACAAUUUAUU
This 373-nucleotide ribosomal RNA is filed under the name Amazophrynella aff. minuta sp. 1 RRR-2018. RNAcentral describes it as "partial 12S ribosomal RNA". It matches the Rfam family "Bacterial small subunit ribosomal RNA", at positions 878 to 1419 of the family's 1533-position model. The record is from RNAcentral. Lineage: Eukaryota; Metazoa; Chordata; Amphibia; Anura; Bufonidae.